AUACAUUCAUAUAUACAUAUACAUAUGCAUAUACAUAUACGUAUACGUGUGUGUGUGUGUGUGUGUGUGUGUGUAU
Molecule: non-coding RNA, 76 nt
Organism: Podarcis lilfordi (Lilford's wall lizard)
Lineage: Eukaryota; Metazoa; Chordata; Lepidosauria; Squamata; Lacertidae
Source: the annotation of a GenBank genome assembly